AUACAAUCACCUCUCUAGGCCCCACUCCUAAACACUGCUCCACUGGGGGAGCUGAAUCUUCCAUACAAGUCUUUGGGGAUGCUUCAUAUCUAAACCAUAACAGAAAAUUCCCCAACCUGUUCCUGAGUUUUCCCUCACAGUUCAACGGUGUUUAAUCUCAAGACAAAUGCACGGGGUUACUGGAAAGAUCACUGGACAGACCAGAAUCUUUCAAGGAAAAGGAGGAAAAGCAACAGAAAUUUCCCCAAGAUGCACAUGGGAAGCAGAAGACCGUGGGCCUGACAGAUCACUCACAUGCUGGCCAUUUCGGAGGUGAGAGAACAGAGGGCCACGGGGGAGACAGUCAGAAAACCCGUCAGUCACCGCCGCUCCUCUGUUUCGCAGUCUUCUAAACUGAUGCGGACGUAAUUUCCUGAAUCUGGACUGCUUCCCACUGCUGCAGUCUAUGCAAAAAAGUACACCACGCUGCUUUGCUUUGGCUAUGAGAAUACCAAAUCCAAAUAUUCCUUGUGCUGUUAUGCAACAAAGACAGGUAGAAGCUAAAUCAUUAAAAUGAUUAAACUUUUGUUCAAUUUAAUAAAUGUUAACCUAACAUCACCCUAGUGCUGGGAACAAGUACAGUCCCACAACAGAGGGAGAGAUACAUUUCCAGAGAAUCCCUGGGCCAUGAGUCAUUAGAUGCAUCAGUCCCAGCAGGCAGGAGUGUGAUCUGGAGGGAGAAUUGCCAUGAAAUGGCCCCAACCGUUCUUCUUUAAUUUAAAAAUUUUAAUCUUCUCAAGAUCACACAAUAGGGUAUAAAUAAACUGAGGUUUAAGGUAGUCCACAGAGAUAAACAUGGCAAAAACACAAAUUAGAAAAGGGGCACGGAAAGGAAAGGGAGGGAGAAUAAGGCCAGCACAAACAAGCUCUCUCUGGGUACCCGAUCUCUGCUCUGCACAGUCACAACUUUGGUUCCCAAGAACUGCCCCGACACUGACCUGGGUCUGCAAGUCCUGACUUUUCCCCCAGGGCUUAGCACCGUCUAAAUAAAAGCUACUAGUUCUUCAACAAAGAGUAACCGAGCACCCGAAGCUGUCUGGCCCACGGCCAUCAAACACCACUCACCUGCAGAGGUCACCUGCCCAGCACCCCAAGGAUCCCCAGCACAGGGGAUAACAAAUGGCUCACAAAGAAGACAGGCGAGAUGUUUUACUCCCCUCUAGAAAUUUAAUAAACGUGAUGACGAUAAUAUUAAUUUAAAUUGCUACUUUAAAAACAAAUGAACAAAAAUGUAAGGAAAGGCAUUAUCCAUUCCAUCUAAAAGGUUCUAGUGACUUUGCUCUGCCACUUACACGUGAGCACAAACAGGACUUACCUGUGAGUCCUACACUUCCCCACACAUAAUGAGGAAAUUCAAAGGUGCUGAAUUUAGGAAAUAACGUACUCCUCUUCUGCCUAGGACACUCUUCUACCCUUUCGCAGGGGUCGCUGAGAAACAGCUGAUGACAGCUGCAGCUGCUGGAGGGAGGCCCCGGCUGAAGGAAGCCUUAACUACACCCAAGCAUUAUAAACACAUCUGCAAUUAAUCCUGGCUAGCCUGAAAAUCCCGAAAGGAACACUACGCUCAAGAAAGCACCGUACCUUUUC
Long non-coding RNA from Heterocephalus glaber (naked mole-rat), 1626 nucleotides. RefSeq lists it as uncharacterized. NCBI's taxonomy places the organism in Eukaryota, Metazoa, Chordata, Mammalia, Rodentia, Bathyergidae. The record is from RefSeq and is a predicted model, not a curated record.